This is a long non-coding RNA of Zonotrichia leucophrys gambelii, 2532 nucleotides long. RefSeq lists it as uncharacterized. The transcript is spliced from 7 exons. Lineage: Eukaryota; Metazoa; Chordata; Aves; Passeriformes; Passerellidae. The record is from RefSeq and is a predicted model, not a curated record.
UUUGACACAUGUUCUAACUUUCUUUCAGGUGCAGAUGCAUUGCAUCCUUGGCAGAGGGUCAGGGUUAGGAGGUGCCGGGCCUUCUUAGGAGCACGCUGUCUGAGAGACACCAGCCUGGUGACAGCAGGACCUUCCCAGCUGACAAGGUGGCCUUUCUUUGUACCUGACAGGGACCGGCAUCCCCCAAUGUCUGAGAGAUAAGUAGAGGGCUACGACCCACAGAGGGGAUGAAAGCAGGGUGCUGGUUUGGGAAUUACUGGGAGGGGUUUCUGAGUCUGCUUUGGAGGUGAGGGGUGUUCAUGAAGUGGCCCCUUGGGCGCCAAAAAAGCAAAGUCUCACUUUUGAUGACAGUGCUGAGGUGUGCAGCAGGGCAGAGCAGCUCCGGUAUGUAUCGUGUCACUUGUCUGUCAUCCAUUAUGUGUUGUUUGUGUAUCUCCUGUCUUUUACCUUAGCCCUUUGAGGGGCCUGUCAGAAACCCUGGCACCAUUCUUAGCAUCCAUGAUCUCAGCAUUCCUUGCCCUGGCACCCAUGCCAUGGAACUUUUGACUGGGGAGCUCAGGCAGGCAUCAGAAAUGCCUCUCUCUUUGGAAGCAUCCUGUCAGAUGUCUUUUCAGGUCUUGUUCUGAGCUGUACGGACAGCUAUGCCCCGCCAGGAUCCAUUAUGGCUGAUUAGGACGUGUAAGAAUGCGAGGUUAGGGAGAGGAUUCUGACUGUAGGAUUCCUAGGCAUCCAUCUUUGCAGUUCUUGGAAUAAAUCAUUCGGUUAAGCAUUGUCUUCCUCCAGGGUUCUCUGAGCCUCAUCAGCUCACCAUCGGUCUGACCUCGGUCAUUUCCUUUUGCAUUCUCUCAAUCCUGGCAGCGAUUUUUCUUACAAAGGGAUUUCUGUCUGUGUCUUGUGCCAUUUGUUUGUCACGUCCUGUCUGUCCUGUGUCAUGGGUGUCAGCACACAUUUGUGCCAGAGCUGCUCUGCCCUGCUGCAUAGCCUGGUGCAAUAGGAGGCAUCUCAGGGACUUGGAAUUUGUCAUGUGGGGUGCAGGUGGACUCUAGAUGGAAUUUGGAGAUGGACACAGGAUAUCUGGAGCCCAUAAGUUAUCCUGCAGCCCUUUGACUUUCAUUCUAACUUUCUUUUAGUUGCAGAAGGAUAAAAUCCAGGGCAGAGCCACCCAUCCUGGGUGAGGGGAUUCCCCCAUGCAGGAAGUCAGGGCAAAGAGCAGCUGUCAAGGCUGAGUGGGCAAGAUGGUCCGCUUGCCAUCUAUCCUAGCCCAGCAUGCCCGUGCCAGGUGCUGUCACUGCCCUAGGCAUGACCAAGGAACAGAGGAGGGCAGGUACCUUCUGGGCAGCCUCCGGAGUCAAAUCAAGACUUGAGGUACCCUGGGGAGGCUUGUAGCCACAGCUUGGAAGCGGCAGCACCGAAGCACACACAUUGAGAACAUCUCAACAUCCAUAUCUGACCGACGAUGGCUUUUGUCCGCUCGUCUUCCAAAAGCUAAGGGUCGGGGCCAGUGGUUGGGAGAAGGGGAAAAGCCUUUACUAUCACAGGAGGCAAUCUGAUGUCAGCUUAGCGGAGAGGUCUGUAGUGGGACGGGCUCCCUGGAAGUAAAGGGAGAGGGUUUCUCCUCAGCCUCACCAGAGGUCGGGCAGGGCAGUUCCGACCCCUCUCCACAGCGUCGCGAACUUUGCGUUGUCAGCCUUCCUCGACUCAGCAUUGUCACGGAUCUUUCCCCCGAGGAGCUCGCCUUCAUGUCCUGAGCUAUAACCGUGGUCACCCAGCAGUCCGCUUCCUUCUCUAGGCUUGCCGAGCCUCUCGAGCAUCUUCUUAACUGCUUUGGCACUAACUUCUUUUAACGAGUUACAUUUCAUCAUCACAUGCUGUUGUCAUAGGGCUUCCUUUCCCUUGGCCUCAUCGGCCUCUGGCUCGUCUUGUGCUAGGACUCUCGGGUCCCUAAGGGGAAAGUGCCAAUCAGUUGCAACUUGUCUCUGUGUUAUGUCAUUUGUGUCUAUGUUAUGGUGUCCCUGUCUGUGGUAUGUAGUGUGUGUCAAUUGUCUUCCACGUCAUAGGCCUUUGUUACAUCUCGAUGCUUUAUCGGCACUCAUCUGUGCCAUAUAGGCCGCGUUCUACUCACAUUCCUUUCUGGAUAUCCCUUAUUCUGGCAUCUUUACAAUUUUGCUCUUUGAGACAGGAAUGUCUCACAGGGACAAGAUGUUCUCAUGCAUCUUCCUUCUCACUACCAGCUUUGCUGGUGCCUUUUUUUCCAUUGUCUUGGACUUCUACAGGGAGCGUCUUACACCCUCUUCAGGUGACUGCAGUAGUUCUGUAGGUUCUAUUUUCUCAAAGGGUAUAGGGCUCAAGAAUUCAUCUUCCAGAGAGUUAUCUCCAGUCCUGGCUUAUAUUGUAUGUACCUAUAUCAUGUGUACCUGUAUUGACGUAUAUUGUAUGUACUCAUAUUGUAUGUACCUAUGCUGGCUUGUACAGUAUGUACUUACAUUGUAUGUACCUAUGUUGGCUUAUACUGUGUGUACUUACACUGUAUGG